ACCGAUGUAGGCUUUUGAGCUCUCGGAAAAACUUCUUUUCCAAUUCUCGUGGACCAUGACACGUAUAGCACAUCCGGAGGAGAUUGCAGGUAGUUUACGAACAAUCUAGAAAUAGGAAUUUGAUGGAAACACACGUUUCCGUCCUGAAUCUUACGGAAUUAUCGCUUCCAAGUUCCACAUGGGGAAUUCGCUGCUCUACAUUGGAAUGUUGCUAUUCUACAUCAGGCAUCGGGUCCGG
RNAcentral lists this long non-coding RNA (238 nucleotides) under Setaria italica (foxtail millet). Its description in RNAcentral is "long non-coding RNA (SITA_LNC004117)". The record is from RNAcentral. Lineage: Eukaryota; Viridiplantae; Streptophyta; Magnoliopsida; Poales; Poaceae.